RNAcentral lists this transfer RNA (63 nucleotides) under Cladiscus yunnanus. RNAcentral's name for it is "tRNA-Tyr". The record is from RNAcentral. Lineage: Eukaryota; Metazoa; Arthropoda; Insecta; Coleoptera; Cleridae.
GAUAAAAUGGCCGAGGUUAGGCAGUAAAUUGUAAAUUUACUUACGAAAAUUUUUCUUUUAUCA